GACGAACGCUGGCGGCGCGCUUAACACAUGCAAGUCGAACGGAAAGGCCUGCUUUCCCUUGUGGAUUGCGGGUACUCGAGUGGCGAACGGGUGAGUAACACGUGAGUGAUCUGCCCCCAACUUGGGUAUAAGCCUGGGAAACUGGGUCUAAUUCCCGAUAGGACUGCAGGGUGGUGCCUGUGGUGGAAAACGAUUUUCUAGUGGUUGGGGAUGAGCUCGCGGCCUAUCAGCUUGUUGGUGGGGUAAUGGCCUACCAAGGCGGCGACGGGUAGCCGGCCUGAGAGGGUGGACGGCCACAUUGGGACUGAGAUACGGCCCAGACUACUACGGGAGGCAGCAGUGGGGAAUAUUGCACAAUGGGCGGAAGCCUGAUGCAGCGACGCCGCGUGGGGGAUGACGGCCUUCGGGUUGUAAACUCCUUUCGACCGCGAGGAAGCCACCUGGUUGGAAGGGUGGUGACGGUAGUGGUAGAAGAAGCACCGGCUAACUACGUG
RNAcentral lists this ribosomal RNA (494 nucleotides) under uncultured bacterium. RNAcentral describes it as "partial 16S ribosomal RNA". It matches the Rfam family "Bacterial small subunit ribosomal RNA", at positions 28 to 507 of the family's 1533-position model. The record is from RNAcentral.